This 253-nucleotide ribosomal RNA is filed under the name uncultured bacterium. Its description in RNAcentral is "partial 16S ribosomal RNA". It matches the Rfam family "Bacterial small subunit ribosomal RNA", at positions 524 to 776 of the family's 1533-position model. The record is from RNAcentral.
UACGUAGGGUGCGAGCGUUAAUCGGAAUUACUGGGUGUAAAGCGCGCGUAGGCGGGAGGCCAAGUCUGUGGUGAAAUCGCUCGGCUUAACUGGGCGGGGUCCAUGGAAACUGGUCACCUGGAGGUCGGUAGAGGCAAGUGGAAUUCCCGGUGUAGUGGUGAAAUGCGCAGAUAUCAGGAGGAACACCGGUGGCGAAGGCGGGUCUCUGGGCCGAUACUGACGCUGAGGAGCGAAAGCGUGGGGAGCGAACAGG